GGUUCAGAACGAACGCUGGCGGCAGGCUUAACACAUGCAAGUGAGCGGGAUGUUGAGUAGCUUGCUAUUAACAUGAGAGCAGCGCACUGGUGAGUAACACGUGGGAACAUACCUUUUGGUGGGGGACAACAGUUGGAAACGACUGCUAAUACCGCAUAAGCCCUAAGGGGGAAAGAUUUAUUGCCGAAAGAUUGGCCCGCGGAAGAUUAGGUAGUAGGUGGGUAACGGCCUACCUAGCCGACGAUCUAUAGCUGGUCUGAGAGGACGAUCAGCCACAUUGGAACUGAGACACGGUCCAGACUCCUACGGGAGGCAGCAGUGAGGAAUAUUGGGCAAUGGAGGGAACUCUGACCCAGCCAAUGCCGCGUGAGUGAAGAAGGUUUUCGGAUUGUAAAACUCUUUCAGAUGGGAAGAUGAUGACGGUACCAUCAGAAGAAGCACCGGCUAACUUCGUGCCAGCAGCCGC
RNAcentral lists this ribosomal RNA (466 nucleotides) under uncultured bacterium. RNAcentral's name for it is "bacterial SSU rRNA". It matches the Rfam family "Bacterial small subunit ribosomal RNA", at positions 21 to 518 of the family's 1533-position model. The record is from RNAcentral.